UUUUUUUUUUUCUUUUUUUAAAUAAUGGUUUUUAUUUUUUCCAUUAUAGCUGAUUUACAGUGUUCUGUCAAUUUUCUACUGCACAGCGAGGUCAGCCAGUCACGUAUACAUAUAUACAUUCUUUAUUCUCAUAUUAUCAUGUUCCAUCACAAGUGAAGAGACAUAGUUCCCAGUGCUAUACAGCAGGAUCCCAAUGCUUAUCCAUUCCAAAGGCAAUAGUUUGCAUCUAUUAACCCAAAAUUCCCAGUCACUCCCAGUCCCUCCCACUCCCCCCCUGGCAACUGCAAGUCUGUUCUCCAUGUCUUUUCUGUGGAAAGGUUCAUUUAUGCCAUUUAUUACAUUCUAGAUAUAAGUGAAAUCAUAUGGUAUUUGUCUUUAUCUUUCUGACUUACUUCACUUGGUCUGAGAGUCUCUAUUUCCAUCCAUGUUGCUGCAAUGUCAUUAUUUUGUUCUUUUUUAUGGCUGAGUAGUAUUCCACUGUGUAUAUAUACCACAUCUUCUUAAUCCAUUCAUUGGUCAGUGGACAUUUAGGUUGUUUCCAUCUCUUGGCUAUUGUGAAUAAUUCUGCAAUGAACAUGUGGGUGCAUGUGUCUUUUUCAAGGAAAAUUUUUUCUGGAUAUAUGCCCAAGAGUAGGAUUGCUGGGUCAUACACGUAUAGUUUUCUAAGGUAUCUCCAUACUGUUUUCCAUAGUGGUUGUACCAAUUUACAUUCCCACUUGGUGAUAUGUCUAGGUGCAGGUUUGUUUCUAUGAACUAUACAAAGCCUUUUGAAACAGAAACUCAUGUGCUUCACAUUUGGAAACUGUUUAAUUAUUUCUUUGGUUCAUUUUUUAUCUUUAUUUAAAUUUAUUUUUAUUAUUAUUAUUUUUGUCUAUUGUCUUUUUAGGGGCACACCCAUGGCAUAUGGAGUUUCCCAGGCUAGGGGUCUAAUUUUAGCUGUAGCCACCAGCCUACACCAGAGCCACAGGAACACCAGAUCUGAGCCGUGUCAGUGACGUACACCACAGUUCAGGGAGCCACAACCCAAAGAGCGAGGCCAGGGAUCGAAUCCGCAACCUCAUGGUUCCUGGUCGGAUUUGUUUCUGCUGUACCACGGCAGGAUCGCUCAUUCUUUAUCUUCAAAUUUUAUACUAUAUGACUGGAAUUCCUAAUAUUUGCAUAUUGAAUCUCUUGAAUUUGGCACUUUUUGUUUCAUCUAUUUUCUAUUUCUAUUAUUUUGUUCUACUUUUUAUGAGACAAUGGAUUUUAUGUUUAAAGGCUUCUGUUGUUUUUCUUAAUUCCUUCUCUCAUAUUUUCUCAUAUUUCUCUAAUUCUUUCAUAUUUCUCAUAAUAGUAAGAGCAUUUUUGCUGCUCUUUGAGAGUUACUGUUUCAUAGCUUCCUGUUCCUAUUUUGUAGAUUUCAUAUAAUCUUUUAUACCUUGGAAGACACCAAUGAUAGUAUUUUAAGUUCUCUUCUUGCUGUGUGGUUACUCUUUCUUCUAAUUUCUUUUUUUCUCUCUCUCUUUAGUCUGACUUUUGUAUUAUAUACUUUUUCAAUGACAGAUGCCUAGACUGAUUUCCAGUUUAUAAGGAUGGCACUGAUAUCUGAUUAGAAGUUUUGUGCUUGUCAGUGGGCUCUUUUACAAUAGGGAGACCUACCUGGCUGUUGUCAUUGUUCAAUCCCUGAAGUCAAUACUACUAGGUCUUUCCUCUUAAACUAGUCCAAUUCUCUAGAGAGGAUUCUUUCAAUCUCCAACACAUAAGUCUAGCUGCCAGCACUCUGAAAGCUUAGAGUAGAGAGGACAGGGAAAUUUCCAUGUCUCAACACUGAGUAGGUAAAUUUUUCCUUGUUUUCCCUAUUUUCACUAUUGCUCCUCCAUCUCUGUGCCCAUUGGUGCCUGGUGUCUGUCUUUUCAGAGGAUUUUGUUUUACUUUAUUUAGAGAAUAAGCUCCUCUUUUCUAGCUGGAUGAGUGGAAAGCUGUUUGAACAAAGGAAGGUGAUCUAAUCAUCUGAUGGCUUUUCAACAGUGUUUCUUUCAGUCGUUUCUUUUGCAUUUUUUCUCAGGUUUUCUCCCAUCACCAGAGGUAUGUAAAGCUGUCAAUUUCUGAGCCUUUUGGGAGUUCUGUGGUAUAAAUCAAGUUGCUUCUUGGCUUCCUUCACUGCCAGCUUAAGAAUCUAUUUUUGUGGGUCUGCCAAGUUAGUUACUACAAUUCAGGCAUCUGCUUUCCAGCUCCCAAAAUUGUUAUGCCAUUCUCUUGGUCCUUAUGAAUAUAUGCUUUUAAAAAUAUUUUGGCUAUCUUUGUAGUGCUUUCUUUGUUUGUUUGUUUGUUUUUUGAAGGGUAUGAGUGGGUUGGGAAAAGGGGAUGAAAGUAAGAAUAUAGGUAUAGUGUGUGUUUGUAGGUGUAUGUGUGUGUUCUACUAUUUUUAGCUGGAGGUCUCAAAAUAAUUAUUUUUAGAACUCCUUUUUUGUUCCCUGGCAGAGUGUGUUUUUAGCAGAAAUCCUAUCUACCAUGUAACUGAAAAAAAUAAAUAUUUGAAAAACAGCAUUUUCAUGAAAUACCUCUGGGCAUUUUAUGAAAAAUGGUUGAAAGUUGAAGAGUGAAGUAUGAUUAUCACAACCUCUGGGGAGUCAACAGAAAAGCAAAGGAUUUUUAAAGACUCUCCACUAUUUUUCAGGCACUGUGCUCUACUCCUUAGGAUAUGUUAUCACAUUUUCUUUUGAUGCAACAAUGAUUCCAUAAACUAGAGUUUAUUACCGUUGUUUUUACAAAGAAGGGAACAGAGGGUAACCCAUAAGCUAGAAAACCAAAAACCAAACAAAAGCAAAAAUGAAAACACACAGCUAUUGAAUAAAAAUGCUUGCAAGUAAAGCCCCUAAUCGAAAUUCACUGCGUGGCUGAAACACAGCAAGGUGAGUGAAUAGUGCCCUAUUACAAUGAUCCAAAUUCUUCCUUGUCACAAACUCCUGCUUGACCUAAACGAAGGAAGGAGAUUUCGCUGAGAGUGUGGUCUCUGACUGGAAACAAGGCUAACUCAUUCUGUGACCUUGGGCACAUUACUUCACGUUCAGGGCCCCCAUUUCUCCAUCAGUAAAACAAGGUCAUCCGAAUAAAUGGUCUGUUGCAUUCUGAUGAUCUAUCUUGCAGAUGGUGAGCUGGAGGUGCUGAGAGCUCCAAGUCAGAGGGGAAGUCAAAUACUCGGCCACACUCUCACUCUCUGUUUAUGCUUUUUUGCAAGAAACUGCCCAACCCAUAGUUCGACGGUCUUCCAAAUGCCAGUGGGCACGAAUGAUGGUUUUCUCCCAAGUCCCUCUUCAGAACUGAAUCUCUCCACAUCCCUUUCAGGGACUGCACUGUCUCCUCUAAGCUCAAGGUAAAUAAAUACUCCAAGACGUGGAACAGAACUGGAAGUCACAGUUGGAGAAAGGAGGCGGCAAACCUUGGACCUUUUACCGUAUGGCCUUACACUUUUGAUUAUUUUAUGAAAGCAUGAAGUGACAUGUUGGUUUCUUCAAAGCCAUUCUUGUACAUGCCUUCCAGGGUUAUAAGCCAUGUGAAUUUAGAUAAUGAGGUAAUUGGGUUUAAUGACUGAAGCAGUGAUUCAGGAAGGAGUAGACCCCAAAUUAUUUAUAAUAAUUGUUACUAAUACUUGUAUGAUAUUACUAAAGCAACCUCAAAAUGGUAAUAACUGCCAUUUGAGAAAUGGAAGUGAUCAUACAUAUAAUUUUACCCAAGUUACCUGUGCCUGGAUCUGGAAUCUAAGACUCAGAGAGACAAUGGAACUUGAGCGAAAAUUUGACCAAAAUUAUGCUAAUUCUUAAUUUGAUGCUUUUUUUUCCCCCUGUAAAUAACUUCCUUGCUCCCUUGCUGGUGAUAUCAAUCCAUCUCCUUCAACAAAUGUCAUAGUGCUGAUUUGUAACUAUGAUUGACAUCUGUGACAGAAUAUUUAUUGGUUUGCUGGUUACUUUGAUUAAUAAUGAUGUUCCAGCAAAAUUAAGUUUAGGCUACUCAUAGAGAAAUUAGAUCAAAAAAGGCAAGAUGUAGAAGCCUGAUUUCAACACCAAAAUCAUCUAAAUACAAUUGUAAUAGUAUAAGUAAAAUGAAAUAACAUUUUAUGCCAUGGUAUAAAUAAUAAAAGUUUGUUUUCAUUUAGUAAUUUUAUUCUCUCUGUUUAUUCCAGGAAUAUUAUACAUUCGGUGUUGUCCGUGUGCUUUAGAAUGAUUAUCUCAUUCAGUUGUCAUGAUAUUAAAUAAAGUAGGUGUAAUGAGUAUCCCCCUCCCCUAGAGCUCAGAGAGAUAGGUGAAUUUCUCAAGGUCUACACAUGGUAUUUCCAGGAUUGGAAUAUUAUUCCAGACAGAUCUAAUUUGCAAAUGUCAGGGUUUUUAUUGCUGAGUUACACUUCCAAAAAUUUCCCCUAAACUGAUAAAUUUUACAGGAAGCACUCCCAAGAAAGAUUUCACACAUCUUUAAAGCAAUGCUCUUAUUGCAGUUUUGCCAACUUUAUCACCACUAUUUAAACCAAACCAAAUGCUUCUUUUAUCUGGGUGGCUAUUUGUUUAGCAGUGUCUUUCUCAGCAUCUUGAUCUUUACUUUUAUCUUUUUGUCAGUGAGAAUUUUGCUGAUACCAGAGUCAUCUGUGAUUUCUUAGUAGAGUCUUUUGUAUGUACUCUAAGAAAUAUUAUUAUUUUUUUGUGGUCCCAAAUCAACUUAUCUCAAAUGGUGGUGCACUGUAAUAUUUUAUUGACACUUCAUCCUCAUCAUACUAGUUUAUAUCUUAAGCUUGAUUUUUCUCAUCCUUCGAUUUCUUUAUGAGAGAAAAUAUCUAAACUUAAUCUUUUGAGACUUGUGAAAAUAAGUUCUUCAACUUCUUUAUUUCCAGUUUCUUUAGUUCAAAAACAGAUAAAAUAAGAUAAAAUUAGGUAAUCAUUCUUUCAUGCAAAGUUAUUGAUAUUAACAUAGCUAAUUACAAUUAUGUGUUCAUUGAGUUGGUAAAUUAAUUACUUAGACUUAAAGAGACAGGGAUUCAAAUGCUGACUUUGCCCUUUUAGUAAAGGUUUUGGGGUAUGUUUUAUUUUUAUGGAAAGUAGUACUAUUAUCACUUCCACCCAGGGUGGCUGGAUGAACCGAGAUUGUACGCGGGGAAGAAUAAACAAUGCCUGUCAUGUAAUUCGUGUUAAAUAAUUGUUUAUCAUUUAUUGAUUCAGACUUAUUCACCCCCAGAACUGCUUCUUCCUAGUAUAAGGAAUUAGUAUAAGUAUACGGAGCAAGCAAAUUGGUUAUACAAGGUAAGCCAUUUCAACUGUAUUGAAAUCAUUUGCCUGAAACGUUUUUGUUCCCAUUCAACAUUGCUUGUUUACACGGUGUCGGAUCAAAUGGGAGAGAGAACAAGGUGAUUCACGAUCAUCCUCCAAAGAGGCAGCUGCAACAUAAACGAUGUCUCAGGAAACAGCAUAAUCUGUUUAUGUGGCCACAACUGUGUGAUCUCUGACCUGUCUUAAUCUUCAGGGGUGGAUAUGUGUGGCACUUUUGUCCCCAGGUGGAACCGAAUAUUGACCAAAAAAAAAAAAAAAAAAAAAAAAAAAGAGAGAGAGAGAGACCCACCAUUAAUUUGUGUAUUUCUUUUAUAUCAUUGCAGAUAUCUUGAAAACCUUUGGUAUAGGUUUCAAAUCUUCACUUGCUUCAUUGAGCUCAUCUCUCCUGCUUUGCAAAGAUAGGUACUUGGAAGCCUCAGAUAAUCAAAUUUUAAGAGAUGUGAAGUCUGUGAAAUUUUAACGCUAACUUUGAUUUCAAGUUAAAAGUGAUAUCUGAGAACUUGGUUUGUAAGAGGGAGAAACAAAAUCAAUACCAAGAACUGCUUUUUCUGGUGUCCACAAGUUAAAAAAAUGUGGAUUAGCAGGAUAUGAAGGUGAAGCAGAAUUUGGAGAACUCUGGAAAAGUCGUUAAUGUUGUGGUUUUGCACAGUCUUUGUAAAAGUUGACCUUUCUGAGUUCAACUCAAACCAGGAUGUUGGCGGUGGAUAAAAAUCUCUGUUUCUGAGUCAAGUGUCUGGCCUCUGGGAAUUUGAAGAGUCAUUGCCAAUAGGAAAAUGUGUUCAGAUAGCAGCUACAAGCACAGGGCCUGAUGCAGAGAAGAGGUGCUACAGAGGCUUCCUGAAAUGUAUUGAGGAUGUGUAAUAAAGAGGAAAACAAUACACAUUCUCUAAAAGAAAAACGGUUCAUCCAUGUUGCUGUGAAUAAUUGGAGUCCUGCUUUUAUCUUUAAAAAUACCCUGGAGGAGUGAGCCAGCAUUGUAGUCAUUGUCUGACAAGGCAGAGAGCUAAUGGUAUGGAAGUAAAGUGAAGUGCUCUCAAGAAUCCUUCUGUGGAUCACUGAUAUAAAGUCUAGACACAGCAUAAAAAAACAACUAGUAAGACACUGGAGAGUGUCCAAAAUGAGACAGAAGCCAGAAGAUAGUUCAUCUUCAGAAAAAACUUCAACAGGAAAUGGAAACGGUUGAAAGCUUGCGGCUUUGUCUUUGCAGGACGCUCAUCAUGAGUUGGAAGCAGAAACUCACAGCCUCAUUACUCAGGGUGUAAAAAACCAAGAACAUAAUUCUAGAAGAGAGCAGGGUCCAACGUAUGAAUAUAUACUAUGUGCAAUUCCUUGUUUGAUUGUGCAUGCUAGUGGUUAUACUGAGAGGACUCAAAGAAAAUGCAAGAAGAGAAAUAAUAGAACCUAUCCUUAAAAGACAGAGCUGUACUGGGUGAUAUCCAUGAAUACGCUCUUUUUUUUUUAAUUAAGUGUAUUUUCCAAAUAUGUAGCUCACAUGGCAAAAAGCUAAAAAGCCUUAUUGGCUUAAAGGAUCAGAGAACAGAGACUGAGGCAGAUAGAGAAUUAGCAGAGGAAUUUCCAGAAUCAAACAACCUGAGAGAGGAUAAACUCCAAAAUAUGAGUAGAAGCACUACUUAAAUCUGUAAUGGUUACCAAAUUAUAAAUAUAAGGGGAUAAUACAAAGAGAUUGGGUUGUAAUAGCAACAACCUGAAGCUGUAAGAAGUAUGUAAAGAUUUGAAAUGCUGCAUAUCAUGGAAGAGACGAACAGAAUAACCAGAACAACACACAGAUUGCAAAAUAGCUCUGCAAUAAUAUCUGAACUAUUCAGUUUUACACUGAAAAUUUGAAGACAUACAUAGUGACAGUAAACCGUGAUCCAUACUCAGGAAAAAUGACAGCAAAUGGAACAGAGACUAAACAUGCCCACAUGUUAUAUACGGCAGACCAAGAUUUAAAAGUAUAUGUUAUGAAUACCUUCAAAAAUAAAGAAAAAAUAUCAAGGAAUUAAAAGAAAAAAAUGAUCCUAAUGAAAAAAUUAGAGAAUUUGAACAGAGAAGCUGAAUCUAUAUAAAUAAGUGGAUAGAAAUUUCCAGUAGACAAGCACAAAAACAGAAUGAAAAGUUGAAAGAAGAUUCAGUGACCUCAAAAGAUAGAGCAAUAGAAUUUACUCAAUCCGAAGAACAGAGAGAAAAAAGGCUAAAAGGUUGAAUGUGCUUAAGAGUAUAGCUAUGAUAAGAAUGCUAAGUUUUCAAAAAGAGAAUGAGCUGAAAGGAAGCCUCCUGAAAGUGUGAUAAUGGGAGAUGUGCUGUUGAGUUUCCAGUUUCUGACGGGUGACAAAGAGCCUACCUUCGCUAAGCUGUUGGAUACUUUUUAUGGUAGGCACCAAGACUCAGACUACUUAAGUCAGAAAUUUUUAGCAAGUGCUCUGGGCAAUUCAAUAGCUUAGGAAGAAAUAAGGCAUUUUACGUUCAAAGAUUUGGGAAGUCAAUGGUGGAGUUAAUAUGACCCAGUGUUGUGCAGUUAAGAGUUUGUAAGAUUGUGUUAUUGGCACCAACUUGUCUUCUUGCCCUGUAUCCAUGUCCUUUGCAUUUAAAAUUUUCAGUGCAUCCAUUCCAAGGGCAGUGGGCUGGAGGGAUAAUUUCUACUCCUGAUCUUGUCAUGAGACUUGAUGUGGCCAAGUAGAUGUUUGCAGAAAUGAAGCAAACAACGUUGUGAAAAGUGUUUGCACGUUAGGCUUGCUUGCUCCUUUGAUUCCAUCAGUUUCUUGAGAAGAACAUGCCUGCAUGUUCUAGCCUGGGUUAAUACUGGGGGUAGAAUGAAGGACAUAGGAGUAAAGCUACAUCAAUUAAAUUGCCCAGCCAAGUCUAAGCUUAGAGCAGAGUGUCCCAUCCAACCUUCAGAGGGAUGCAUUUGUCCACAAAGAUCAUCAGAGUCAUCCCAAUGAGCCCAGGUCAGCCAACGCUGUGAUAUCCCAUGGACCUGUAAAUUGUAAUAAUAAAUGCCUAUUGUUUUAACCCACUAAGUUUUGAGGUCACUCGUUCCAUACAAAUAUUUAAGUGAUAGAAUAUUUAAAAGUUUCAAGCACUGUGACAAAUGCUUUAUAUAUAUUAUCUGGUUUAACACCCAAAACAUUUUUGUGAGAUAGAUACUGUAUUAUUUUUAACAUUUCCAUAGUAAGAAACAAGGACUCCAAAUGUUAUUUUACUUUUCAAAGUCAUACAGCCAUGGAAUGAAGCCAGGAUUCAAAUGUAGGCAGCCCAUGUCACAUAUUAUAUAUGCCUAAGAAUCUGUGUCUGUUAGAGAUUUUUCUAUCUCCAAAUUGUCAGAAUUGCAUGCUGAGAAAGGGAACUAAAAAUAAACCUUGCAGUAGGAAUAUAGAACAUUUCAAAAUAUGUAAUAACAAGAAAUUUCUUUUUAAUCUUUCUCCCUACACACCACUGACAUAUACAAACGCUGUAAUACAAAUGCUCAAAGUAGUGAAAUACCAACUUCUGUGCUUGCUUACAUUCAGAGUCAGAGGGUGCCAGGAAAAACAUAUGCUUGCUGCCAUGCAUGGGUAUUCAUUCCUAGACCUUCACGAUGCCUCCUACUAAUUUAUUUUCAUCACUGGCAGUUUGAAUUGUAUUCCUCUCUCCCCCCCCCCUUUUUUCAUCAUUCAGCACCACUUACAAAAAGUAAGAGAAAAAAAAUAAAAGCUCUAACUCCUAAAAUUUCAGACAUAUGGUGGGGAUUAAACAGGUUCUAUGGGGUUGAGAAGCAGGGGACUUGAACUCUUGACUUGUUCCUACCCUCAAGUGCCCUUAGGUUGUCAGGCAAGUCUUUUUCUUACAUCUUGUAGCCUUGAUUUUCUCCCCAGUAUAAUGGGAUAACUACCAGCUCUGGAAACCUAUGAAACCCAUUUAUUUCUCAUUCUCUCAAAAGUAGGUUGUUGUCCACUAGCUAUAUAUCAGAUCGAAUGCUACUUAAUGAGAUACGGAAAAGGAAACAAAAUAAAAUCCUUGCAAGAGUGCUCAGUCUGGGAAAUAGAGAUGGAGCCAAUAAGUAAAAAAUUACAGAAAAAUGUAAUAAGUGCUCAGUGUUAUUUUUGUCACAAAAAUGUAUUUGCCAUAAAUUUAAAACAAUAUGGUACAGAAGUUUCAAUUAAAUAAUUUAUUUCUAAAUAUGUUUCAUAUUCUAAGAGACUAGAACCAAAAUUUUUUCGCUAAACAUAGUACUUUUGACAACAUUUUCAUCACAAUAUAUGACUUAUGCUUUUUCACUCUCUUUAAAAAAAAAAAAUCUAUGUGUUGAAGGCCAAAUAAUACCUUGGAAAUAUCUACAACCUGGUCAGAUAUAUAUAUGUAUACAGUAUACAUGUACAUUCUCGUAUAUGUGUGUGUAGACACAUAUAUGUGUGUACAUAAUGCAUAUUAUAGAAGAAAAGUGACUUAGAAAAAGGCCAAGACCACUUUUGACUCUUGGGAGGAAUGGAAAAAUAAAAAGUAUCAUGACAAGUUUAUCAUUUAUCUGAUGUCAAUAAAAGUAUACAAAUACUAAACCUGCUAAUUUUCUUUUCGUUUCCUCUCAAUAUUUUCCUUGUGGUAUCCUUGGAGAAGUUGGAAAAUUUAUGGACUUAGUUUAGAAAUACAUUGAAAAAACCUACACUGUAGGAGUUCACGUCAUGGCUCAGUGGUUAACGGAUCUGACUGGCAUCCAUGACGAUGCAAAUUUGAUCCCUGGCCUUUCUCAUUGUGUUAAGGAUCCAGCACUGCAGUGAGCUGUGGAAC
Sus scrofa (pig) is the source of this 10055-nucleotide non-coding RNA. Lineage: Eukaryota; Metazoa; Chordata; Mammalia; Artiodactyla; Suidae. The record is from RefSeq and is a predicted model, not a curated record.